Long non-coding RNA from Homo sapiens (human), 381 nucleotides. NCBI's taxonomy places the organism in Eukaryota, Metazoa, Chordata, Mammalia, Primates, Hominidae. The record is from Ensembl.
UCCACAGUAAUAAAGAAUCGAGAAACAGAUAUUUUUUCAAUUUCUUCCCAUUACAUUUUAUGUCCACAUUUAGAUGUAUCUGGGAAGAUCUCUAAACUGACACCACUGUGAGAGGCCCCUGGGAUUCACAAAUAUCAUUUCCAUGACACUCAGAAAACGGGGGAAAAGAGGAAAAUGUGAGCGGUGAUAAAUUGGAGCUAAUCUCUUUCUGCCACAACCUGAAAUGAUACUUGGCCAGAUGUACACACCUGAAUUCAGGAUUUACCCAGAGAAGCCUGCCCAGAACUUUGAGCACAGUAGGUCCUCAAUAAACAUUUCCUAGGGGGCUAACUGAAAGGAAAACAAUCAAAACAAAACAAUAAAAUUAAGGUGUUGGAAGAA